This 253-nucleotide ribosomal RNA is filed under the name uncultured bacterium. RNAcentral's name for it is "partial 16S ribosomal RNA". It matches the Rfam family "Bacterial small subunit ribosomal RNA", at positions 524 to 776 of the family's 1533-position model. The record is from RNAcentral.
UACGAAGGGUGCAAACGUUGCUCGGAAUUAUUGGGCGUAAAGCGCACGUAGGCGGCUUAGCAAGUCGGAAGUGAAAUCCCUCGGCUCAACCAAGGAAGUGCUUUCGAAACUGCUGAGCUUGAGUAGUUAAGAGGAUCGCGGAAUUCCCGGUGUAGAGGUGAAAUUCGUAGAUAUCGGGAGGAACACCAGUGGCGAAGGCGGCGAUCUGGGAACAUACUGACGCUGAGGUGCGAAAGCGUGGGGAGCAAACAGG